AACCAUCGCUAAGUAACCUUCUCCUCCGGCUGCGGCGGUCCCGGGUGACAUGCAGUCCCUUAUCUCUCCGGUGACCAAGGCGAUUCUGGUGGCUUUGUUCAUCUUUGCCAUCCUCCUGAUCCUCUAUGUUAUCCUUUGGUACAUCUGCCGCGAUGUGGAUUGCGACCACGGCAUCUGAGUCGGGCUGCGGGGCAGCCUUGGAGCUGGAGACUGCUUGACAGUGGAGUCUCUCAAGGGGGGGAGGGGGCUUGAUCAAAAGAGAGCCAGACACAGAAGAAAAGAUCUGGGGUUUAAAAAAAGAAAGAAAGAAAGAGUGAGAGAGGUGGAGGGGAAGGACGGUGGUGGAGACGAGGAAAAAAAAAAAAGAGAGAGAGAGAAAAGGUGGGCAUGGGGGUGGGGAAGGAAAAAGCAGCCGUCAACUCCUCGGAUCCUACAACCUCAUCGAAACCUGGCAGGCGACAACUACAUCUAAGCACCGGCGACGUGGAAUUGACCUUCAGACAGCAGGGUCACCCUGUGCCCAGUGAGGGACUUGAAAGCUCUGGACAGUGUGGAGUCAUCCCUUGCCCUACUACACCACAAGAGCAGCACAGACAGGCAUACAUGGUGCCAUCAAGGUGCCAUGAUUCUGAUGUGGAGGGACGCCUUUGAGGGAUGGAAGGGGGAGACUUUGCUCCUGGGACUGUCAUGUCAACAAGAGUGCUGAUGGUGCAAUUUUGUGGGGACGGAGGGUGGGGCAGACAAUAUAUGGAUUGACGCCAUCGGCAGCCAUCACCCAUCUCACCUAAUAGUCCAAUGACUGGGCCCUCUCAACAGCUGGGGUCAAGGCCUCCAUCACAUCUCUUUGCUGGUAUUCUGAGCCAUCCCACCUGGCCCGUCUCUCCUCCCUCUUUCUUGUGGAGUCCUCAUCGACCUCCUUGCUUAUGCACGGUACUGAACCAGCAGGGCUCUCUGUUUAAAAUAUCUGUGAGGCAGCUUUGUGGAGAUUUUUACUUUUACAUACAUGACUAGAGAAGUCCUGAGGACAAUCAGCAUCAGAUUGUAACAUCUUUAAGGUAGGUGACAUCUGGAGUCUCGCCUACUUCAUUUUCCAAUGGAUUUUCUCAGUAAAGUUUGUAAACAAGUUAACUGUCUUCUAGCUUGUUUUUGCAUGAGGGAUGUGCUCAAGGGAACAGUCAUGAGUAAUUCAAUUAUGGCCCUCUUCUUUUUUUUAUUUUUUUCCCAAAGUUACCCCAGAUGAUUUUAUUUUAGUGGUCAUAAUAAAAAAAAAUGCUGCUCCCAAAAAUAAAUAGCCAAGUAAUUAAAGACUAUGAACUUUCAAUGUGAAAGAAGAAAGCCAAUAGGCAUAUAGUAUGCCAGCAUCUCAUUCAUAUUGGAGUGUUAACAAAUUCAUUUUUAUGACAUAGUGCAAUUUCAUUGCAUAGUUUGAGGGGCACCAAGGAUGUGCAGUUUUGCACUUUUGUUGAAAACUUCAGGGAAAACAGAUUACACAAGCAUGAGAAUUGCCAGGUGAUCUUUGUGUUAUCUCUAUGAAUGUAUUUGAAAAGUUAUGACCCAGCAAUGUUAGCUCUCCAUACCAUCCAUAUGCAUCAUAAUAAAUUAUUUUGUAAGCUUUUCUAAAUGCUAUAAUAAUUCUGUCUUUCAGGUUUGAUGUGGCACCUUAGUGUUGUCUUGUCACAUCUCUGUCUCUCCACAUGAAAAGAGGCAAUAAAGACAAUGCUCAGACAAUAUGGCUAUUCAAGAAAAUAAAAAAUAUUUUUGAAACUGUAUGACAUAGUACCACUCUUUGAUUCACAAUGUGCAAAGAAAACCACAGCUCAUGAAAGUACACAUGGCAUUAGCAAUUUGGGGAUAGAACAUUAAUACUAUAAACUGUGGUCAUGCUGAAGAGCAAAUGUUAACAGGAUGAAAUGUGUUAUUAUUCAAUGGUGAGGACUUCAGACUAACCCUCUGAGGUCAUGAGAAAAUGAUCCUACUCUCAUAUCUAAUGCUUAGAAUACAUGUCAAAGAAGGGACUUUUUUAUUAUAGAAACACAUUGUUA
Long non-coding RNA from Sarcophilus harrisii (Tasmanian devil), 2042 nucleotides. RefSeq lists it as uncharacterized. The transcript is spliced from 2 exons. The record is from RefSeq and is a predicted model, not a curated record. Lineage: Eukaryota; Metazoa; Chordata; Mammalia; Dasyuromorphia; Dasyuridae.